CCUACGGGAGGCAGCAGUGAGGAAUAUUGGACAAUGGGCGCAAGCCUGAUCCAGCCAUGCCGCGUGCAGGAAGAAGCAUCUAUGGUGUGUAAACUGCUUUUGUACAGGAAGAAACACUCCCUCGUGAGGGAGCUUGACGGUACUGUAAGAAUAAGGACCGGCUAACUCCGUGCCAGCAGCCGCGGUAAUACGGAGGGUCCGAGCGUUAUCCGGAAUCAUUGGGUUUAAAGGGUCCGUAGGCGGUUUAAUAAGUCAGUGGUGAAAUCUGGUCGCUCAACGAUCAAACGGCCAUUGAUACUGUUAGACUUGAAUUAUAAGGAAGUAACUAGAAUAUGUAGUGUAGCGGUGAAAUGCUUAGAUAUUACAUGGAAUACCAAUUGCGAAGGCAGGUUACUACUUAUGGAUUGACGCUGAUGGACGAAAGCGUGGGGAGCGAACAGGAUUAGAUACCCUGGUAGUCCACGCCGUAAACGAUAGAUAUANUGUGNGNAUNUGNGUGNGUAGAGAGUAGAGUAGUA
Molecule: ribosomal RNA, 518 nt
Filed under: uncultured bacterium
Lineage: Bacteria
Description: bacterial SSU rRNA
Rfam family: Bacterial small subunit ribosomal RNA
Source: RNAcentral